ACAUCCAGCGAACUUGGCAGAGAUGCCUUGGUGCCUUCGGGAACGCUGAGACAGGUGCUGCAUGGCUGUCGUCAGCUCGUGUUGUGAAAUGUUGGGUUAAGUCCCGNAACGAGCGCAACCCUUAUCCUUUGUUGCCAGCGAUUCGGUCGGGAACUCAAAGGAGACUGCCGGUGAUAAACCGGAGGAAGGUGGGGAUGACGUCAAGUCAUCAUGGCCCUUACGAGUAGGGCUACACACGUGCUACAAUGGCGCAUACAAAGAGAAGCGACCUCGCGAGAGCAAGCGGACCUCAUAAAGUGCGUCGUAGUCCGGAUCGGAGUCUGCAACUCGACUCCGUGAAGUCGGAAUCGCUAGUAAUCGUGGAUCAGAAUGCCACGGUGAAUACGUUCCCGGGCCUUGUACACGCCGCCCGUCACACCAUGGGAGUGGGUUGCAAAAGAAGUAGGUAGCUUAACCUUCGGGAGGGCGCUUACCACUUUGUGAUUCAUGACUGGGGUGAAGUCGUAACAAGGUAAGCGUAGCGAG
Molecule: ribosomal RNA, 525 nt
Filed under: uncultured bacterium
Lineage: Bacteria
Description: bacterial SSU rRNA
Rfam family: Bacterial small subunit ribosomal RNA
Source: RNAcentral